This 91-nucleotide transfer RNA is filed under the name Tilletia horrida. RNAcentral describes it as "tRNA-Arg". It matches the Rfam family "tRNA". From Rfam's summary of the family: Transfer RNA (tRNA) molecules are approximately 80 nucleotides in length. Their secondary structure includes four short double-helical elements and three loops (D, anti-codon, and T loops). Lineage: Eukaryota; Fungi; Basidiomycota; Exobasidiomycetes; Tilletiales; Tilletiaceae. The record is from RNAcentral.
GGCCGUGUAUUUCAGUGGUAGAAGGUUCGCCUCCUAAAGGUUCACUUUUCAGAACAGCGAAAGGUCCGCGGUUCGAACCCGCGCUCGGUCG